This 301-nucleotide ribosomal RNA is filed under the name uncultured bacterium. RNAcentral's name for it is "partial 16S ribosomal RNA". It matches the Rfam family "Bacterial small subunit ribosomal RNA", at positions 509 to 807 of the family's 1533-position model. The record is from RNAcentral.
CAGCCGCCACGGGAAUACGAAGGGUGCAAGCGUUACUCGGAAUUACUGGGCGUAGAGCGUGCGUAGGUGGUGGUUUAAGUCUGCUGUGAAAGCCCUGGGCUCAACCUGGGAAUUGCAGUGGAUACUGGGCAACUAGAGUAAGGUAGAGGAUAGUGGAAUUUCCGGUGUAGCAGUGAAAUGCGUAGAGAUCGGAAGGAACAUCUGUGGCGAAGGCGACUAUCUGGGCCAUUACUGACACUGAGGCACGAAAGCGUGGGGAGCAAACAGGAUUAGAUACCCCAGUAGUCCCUGUCUCUUAUAC